CCUGGUGGCUCAGAUGGUAAAGCGUCUGCCUACAAUGCAGGAGACCCAGGUUCGACCCCUGGGUCAGGA
This 69-nucleotide transfer RNA is filed under the name Odocoileus virginianus texanus. It matches the Rfam family "tRNA". From Rfam's summary of the family: Transfer RNA (tRNA) molecules are approximately 80 nucleotides in length. Their secondary structure includes four short double-helical elements and three loops (D, anti-codon, and T loops). The record is from Rfam by way of RNAcentral. RNAcentral also lists the same sequence under 6 other names. Lineage: Eukaryota; Metazoa; Chordata; Mammalia; Artiodactyla; Cervidae.